Molecule: ribosomal RNA, 333 nt
Filed under: Triticum aestivum (bread wheat)
Lineage: Eukaryota; Viridiplantae; Streptophyta; Magnoliopsida; Poales; Poaceae
Description: partial small subunit ribosomal RNA
Source: RNAcentral
AUGAAGGAGGACAAAAUGGCAAGUGUCAUACAGAUCAAAGAUAUGGAAUCAAAAGUUUUCCAGGCCUUGCUUAGCUUUAUUUACACCGACUCACUGCCCGAAAUGGAGAUGAACACAAUAGAGGAAGGAAAAGCCCAAGAAACAUUGUGGCUGCAACAUUUGCUCGCAGCGGCGGAUACAUAUGAUCUCCAAAGGCUGAAAGCACUAUGUGAAGAGAGGUUGUGUGAACAUAUAGACGUGAGCUCUAUGACAACUAUUCUUACUCAAGCCGAGCAGCUCAAUUGUUGUGGAAUGAAAGGGGUAUGCUUUGAGUUCUCUCAAAACUACCACUGA